Molecule: ribosomal RNA, 586 nt
Filed under: uncultured bacterium
Lineage: Bacteria
Description: bacterial SSU rRNA
Rfam family: Bacterial small subunit ribosomal RNA
Source: RNAcentral
CCUACGGGAGGCAGCAGUGGGGAAUUUUGGACAAUGGGCGCAAGCCUGAUCCAGCAAUGCCGCGUGCAGGAUGAGGGCCUUCGGGUUGUAAACUGCUUUUGUACGGAGCGAAACGGUCUGCUUUAAUACAGUAGGCUAAUGACGGUACCGUAAGAAUAAGCACCGGCUAACUACGUGCCAGCAGCCGCGGUAAUACGUAGGGUGCGAGCGUUAAUCGGAAUUACUGGGCGUAAAGCGUGCGCAGGCGGUUAUAUAAGACAGAUGUGAAAUCCCCGGGCUCAACCUGGGACCUGCAUUUGUGACUGUAUAGCUAGAGUACGGUAGAGGGGGAUGGAAUUCCGCGUGUAGCAGUGAAAUGCGUAGAUAUGCGGAGGAACACCGAUGGCGAAGGCAAUCCCCUGGACCUGUACUGACGCUCAUGCACGAAAGCGUGGGGAGCAAACAGGAUUAGAUACCCUGGUAGUCCACGCCCUAAACGAUGUCAACUGGUUGUUGGGUCUUCACUGACUCAGUAACGAAGCUAACGCGUGAAGUUGACCGCCUGGGGAGUACGGCCGCAAGGUUGAAACGUCAAAGGAAUUGACGG